UUGUAGGCAUGUGCCUGAAGAACAGUCAUCUGCAUAAUCGAAACCAGGUUCACAAUCCAGCAGUCGUAAAGGCAAGGGAAAAGUGGUUCAAAGAGGAAGGAGGAUAGCCUCUGGCUUGAAGGAACGAUACUUCAGCAACGGUGUCCAUUGACUUCAUUCUUGACUCCGAGUUUAACACCAGUGGUGACGAUAGGAGAUGCCUCCUUAGAUGGCUUGUGCUUAUUAUGCCUCCUGUAUGCCCUGAAUCGCGACUGGGGAAUUCUUUUCCCGCAUGUCAAGAGUGUCAAUUUGCUGUAUUCGCAAGAAUUUAUCAACAGUAAAAUUGCGGCCAAAGCUAGUAGGGAACUUAAGGAUCUUCUGGAUACAAACCGGAAAUACAAACCAAACCAGAAAUACAAACUAGAGUACGGUACUUUUUAGCUGUAUUGAACAUGCUAUGACAACUACUUGUGAA
Nasonia vitripennis (jewel wasp) is the source of this 454-nucleotide long non-coding RNA. RefSeq lists it as uncharacterized. The record is from RefSeq and is a predicted model, not a curated record. Lineage: Eukaryota; Metazoa; Arthropoda; Insecta; Hymenoptera; Pteromalidae. The transcript is spliced from 2 exons.